Peromyscus maniculatus bairdii (prairie deer mouse) is the source of this 651-nucleotide non-coding RNA. The record is from RefSeq and is a predicted model, not a curated record. Lineage: Eukaryota; Metazoa; Chordata; Mammalia; Rodentia; Cricetidae.
CCGGCACGUGGCACUGUAACAGGCACAUGGCACUGUAACCGGCACGUGGCACUGUAACCGGUGCUUGGCACUGUAACCGGCACAUGGCACUGUAACCGGCACGUGCCCUCCUCUGUUAAUGGAAUUGUGAUCUGACAAAGAGAUCAGUCUCCAUGAUUCUGAGUGAUGGGACUCUCUUCACAAACAAUUAGCCCAGCUAGAAGGCAGUUGGGUUUUGGCACAUCAGAAAACCCACUGAACUUGGAAUGAGACAAUCUGGACUUGGAUACCAGCUUUACUGUUGAUGACAUUAGGUGUGUGAUAUGUGUCCUCUAAGCAUCGAUUUCCUACAGAAAAUAAGGCAAGUGGUCAGGACACUCUUUAUAGAUCUCCUUAUUUAUUUCUCUGAAGUAUAAAUAGAAGUAUCCAAACCAGGAAUGUAAUAGAGGACUCCUGUUGACAUCUGAUAUUCUGGAGGACUGUACUCUUGGUGUGAAAGAAGACACCCACCCAGUGCUAUACAGGUCUCAGUCUUGGUGGUGAAGGCUCUGGAGGGCUUGAGCCACAGGUAUUCAGGCCAGCAUGGCUUCUUGGCUUUCUGGGUUACACUGCCAUUAUGCUCUCUUCCUCUCCUACCAAACUCAAUGGCAGCUCUGCCUGACAGUACCAUCU